CCAGACUCCUACGGGAGGCGGCAGUGGGGAAUAUUGCACAAUGGGGGGAACCCUGAUGCAGCGACGCCGCGUGGGUGAAGGAGUACUUCGGUACGUAAAGCCCUAUCAGCAGGAAAGAAAAUGACGGUACCUGACUAAGAAGCCCCGGCUAACUACGUGCCAGCAGCCGCGGUAAUACGUAGGGGGCAAGCGUUAUCCGGAUUCACUGGGUGUAAAGGGAGCGUAGACGGCCAUGCAAGCCUGGAGUGAAAGCCCGGGGCCCAACCCCGGGACUGCUCUGGGAACUGUGCGGCUGGAGUGCGGGAGGGGCAGGCGGAAUUCCUGGUGUAGCGGUGAAAUGCGUAGAUAUCAGGAGGAACACCAGUGGCGAAGGCGGCUUACUGGACUGUAACUGACGUUGAGGCUCGAAAGCGUGGGGAGCAAACAGGAUUAGAUACCCGUGUAA
This 445-nucleotide ribosomal RNA is filed under the name uncultured bacterium. Its description in RNAcentral is "bacterial SSU rRNA". It matches the Rfam family "Bacterial small subunit ribosomal RNA", at positions 331 to 793 of the family's 1533-position model. The record is from RNAcentral.